UGGAAGACUGUCUUGAUAGGAGACUCUCUCCAGAGAUUCUCUUGCUUCCUUGAUGAAAUAUGAGAUUGUGCAGAAAAUGUUCAUGUGGCAAGGAACUUAGGUGGCUUCUAGGGACUUCAGGAGGCCUCCAGUUGCUAAGGAGGGGGAUUGUAGCUGACAAGCAGAAAGAAGGCUAAGAUUGCAGACUCACAACCAGGAAAUGAAUUCUGCAAGCAACAUGAAUGAACUUGGAACAGGACAUCAGAAAAGCGAGAACUCUUCAGAGGAGUAGCUCCAGAAGUCUGCAUUGAGAUUCACUAGGAGUACGUGAUCCAGAUGAGAUUGCCCAUGUACAAGUACCGCCUUAUGUUUCUUUGGAAUGAAAAAUUCAACCUUUCCCUGCUGUCAGUCAUGUGGUCCCAGCUCCAAGAGCCCCCUAAUUGGAAUAAACCAAUAAGAGGUUGUCUUAAAAUGGACCGGUAACCAACCAGAGCCAAUGAGAUGUGGAGGAAAAAAAUAUAUAAGACAAAAAAGAGUCUUUUAAAAGGAGUCUAUCUUAGAAUAUAUCAGCUGACC
This 555-nucleotide long non-coding RNA is filed under the name Callithrix jacchus (white-tufted-ear marmoset). RNAcentral's name for it is "lncRNA (ENSCJAG00000051315.2)". Lineage: Eukaryota; Metazoa; Chordata; Mammalia; Primates; Cebidae. The record is from RNAcentral.